UCCAUCAAAACAAUUAUUUGGAUAAAAUUUAUUUCCAUUGUUUGUAUUUCAAUGCAUAAACUCGUUAUUUUUUUCAGCCAGACAUCGCCUAUCAAAAUGUGAAUUUUCAAGGAACAAUGACUCCAAAAUAGAACAUUAUAAAUACAAGUUAAAGUGGAUAAAUAUCUUUGAUGGUCACCAACACAUUGGCUUCCUCUGGACGUUGUUUAAGAUUGCUCAUCUAGCAAACUCCUAACACAAACAACGAAAAUAUUGUUUUAUUAGCAGUCGGUAAACAAUUUACUGGUAGUUAUAUAUUUAAACUUGAUAACUAAAUAAAAAUAUUGCAAAUUUAAAUGAUUCACAAUAGUUUAACACAUAUACACAACAUCAAUUGUGGUUAAGGAGUCAAAAACAAAUUGUCAAUUAAAGUAAUAUAUCUCUACUCAUUCUUGUUCAUCAACAAGUCAUUAAUGUGGUCAUAGCUAAUGACUACACAUAUGAGUUCAGACUCAACUUUAUUGAUUUAGGAUAAUAAUAAUAAUAAUAAUAUCUUUGGAUUACAUAUAAUUUUCGCGUUGAUUUCAAGCAUAACAGACUUCUAAUGACGAAGAUUGCAACAAAAUAAUGAAACUAAUCAAUGUAAGUGUUGGUGUUUUAAGAGAGGAGAUGGAAGGGUUACAAAAUUGAAAAUUUAUACUUAAAAUGCUAAAUAAAUCAUAGGAAUAUUUUUUUUUUAAAACUCGGUAUCCGAUCUAAGGACCGACUAAUUCUAGGAGAUGAAUUUCAUCGCCUACUUGGGAUUACCUCGAUUAAAGCGAGCAAAUCUUUGUAUGGAUUUACCCACCGAAAUUGGCACCAAAGGUAAUCGAACCUGAGACCUUGAGAGGAGCACACUCCAAGAUCCCAAGUCAACCACUAGGUCAACCCCAAAUGGGUCAAUCGUAGGAAUAUUAUCUUGAAGUUGUCCCAAAAAUGGAGCAAUUUUCUUGCAUAUCCUUGUACCAUAAAGAUUGAUUUCUGGAUCUUGUUUCAACUACCAUGUUGUGUUAUUUCUCUACCUACCUUUUAUUCUCUAUUGACACUAUUUCUUUCUCUAAUAUUAGGGAUUAACUGAAUUUAUUUUCUCAAAAUAUAAAAACUUUAUAUCAUUAUAAACUUUUACUUUUUUUUAUAAAAAAAAAAAAAGUAUUCAAAUAGACUAACCUGCAUGUACAAAGAUCACUAAUACACCUUACAAAUGUAUUAGGGGGACACCUGAAAUUCAUUGGACAAUCAUCACUGACGGUGCACUUUAUAACUGCAAAGUAAAAUAACAAUAAAUCAAUUCCAUCAAAAGGUUAUGAAAGGUUGUGUAUAACAUAACAUAAAGAACAAAAUGCAAAACCACUUACGUUUAAUGCCGGUUACAACAAGAAUUAGAGAAAGAAAUAUAAUUAAAGCAUAAAAAGAUUUGGAAAUUUGAGC
RNAcentral lists this long non-coding RNA (1446 nucleotides) under Medicago truncatula (barrel medic). Its description in RNAcentral is "lncRNA gene3145". Lineage: Eukaryota; Viridiplantae; Streptophyta; Magnoliopsida; Fabales; Fabaceae. The record is from RNAcentral.